This is a long non-coding RNA of Dioscorea cayenensis subsp. rotundata (Guinea yam), 776 nucleotides long. RefSeq lists it as uncharacterized. The transcript has 3 exons. The record is from RefSeq and is a predicted model, not a curated record. NCBI's taxonomy places the organism in Eukaryota, Viridiplantae, Streptophyta, Magnoliopsida, Dioscoreales, Dioscoreaceae.
CUCUACUUCUCCAUGCAGUUCAUUCAUUGAUGAUAAUGCAAAGAGAUGCUCAAAACUUCAUCAAAAUAAUCAAAUUCAACAAUACAGAUUCAGCAUCAACAAAAGAAUUGUUUGGCUUCUCUUGAUGAUGUAUCUCUCCAAGCAAAACUAGAGAAUUCCAAGGGGAAGUUAAUUGAAGACAACAACAAGAAGGUGAAUGUGCUUUUGAGGGCCUCUGAUAGUAUUGAUUGGGAGUCUUUUAGUCUAGGAAAAUGGCAUUUGUUGAUUUUAAUUUCCUACUUGAGUUAAUCAUUGGGUUUACUAUAUUUUUGGUUCCUUCACACAUUUUUAGAGCACGUAGUCUUUACUAUAUAGCGAUCUGAAUUCUUAGAAAAAGUUGUUAUGUGUAGAUACUUAGUUUGACCAUGUGUGUGAAAGCUAGUGUUUAAAGGGAGGAAAGAGCUACCACCCUUAUAGUGUGAAAGCCGCUCUAAGGUAUAUAGACACUAUGCUUGAGGAAUGUUUUCUUGAUGAUUUACCAGGAGUGAGGGCUACCUUAAGGGAUGUGUGAAAGCUACAAUUUUCAGGGCAGAAACAGCUACCAACCUUAUUGUGUACAAGCCACUCUUAUAAUCAGAUACUAUGCAUUACAAGUGUGUUUUUGAUGAUAAACGAGAGAAAGGGCUACCUCAGGGGAUGUGUGAAAGCUACCAUUCUAUGAGUAAAAGGAGCCACCUUUUUUUUGUGUGAAAGCUACCUCACUGUCUAAUAAGUUUUUUGUUUGUAUAACUUGAUCG